RNAcentral lists this ribosomal RNA (724 nucleotides) under uncultured bacterium. RNAcentral describes it as "bacterial SSU rRNA". It matches the Rfam family "Bacterial small subunit ribosomal RNA", at positions 790 to 1533 of the family's 1533-position model. The record is from RNAcentral.
GUAGUCCACGCCCUAAACGAUGCUCACUAGGUGUUGGGGAAGCGAUUCCUUGGUACCGAAGCUAACGCGUGAAGUGAGCCGCCUGGGGAGUACGGCCGCAAGGUUAAAACUCAAAGGAAUUGACGGGGACCCGCACAAGCGGUGGAUGAUGUGGAUUAAUUCGAUGCAACGCGAACAACCUUACCUACCCUUGACAUGUCCGGAAGGCCCCUGAGAGGGGGCUGUGCCUGAAAGGGAACUGGAACACAGGUGCUGCAUGGCUGUCGUCAGCUCGUGUCGUGAGAUGUUGGGUUAAGUCCCGCAACGAGCGCAACCCUUGUCCAUAGUUGCUACGCAAGGGCACUCUAUGGAGACUGCCGGUGACAAACCGGAGGAAGGUGGGGAUGACGCCAAGUCCUCAUGGCCCUUAUGGGUAGGGCUUCACACGUCAUACAAUGGACGGUACAGAGGGUCGCCAACCCGCGAGGGGGGGCCAAUCCCAGAAAGCCGUUCGUAGUCCGGAUUGCAGUCUGCAACUCGACUGCAUGAAGUCGGAAUCGCUAGUAAUCGCGGAUCAGCAUGUCGCGGUGAAUACGUUCCCGGGUCUUGUACACACCGCCCGUCACACCAUGGGAGCGGGAUGUACCAGAAGUAGGUAGGCUAACCGCAAGGGGGCCGCUUACCACGGUGCGUUUCGUGACUGGGGUGAAGUCGUAACAAGGUAGCCGAAUCGANNUCCCGCGGC